UUGGAAUUGCUGUAUCUUAAAGAAUAUCAAGCAAAAAAGGUUAAUACCAUGUCCCAGUUUAGCAAAACUUAUGUGUUUCAUCCGUUUCAGGGAGGAGUUAUGGGUAUCUCCAUUGAGGUUCGUGAAAGCUUGAAGAUGCUAGACCAUGAAGGUUUCCCUAUACUUGGGAUAGAAUGGCAGAAAAUGGAAAAUCCUGAUCUCUGUAAGGC
Molecule: long non-coding RNA, 209 nt
Organism: Hordeum vulgare subsp. vulgare (domesticated barley)
Lineage: Eukaryota; Viridiplantae; Streptophyta; Magnoliopsida; Poales; Poaceae
Exons: 2
Source: RefSeq, a predicted model, not a curated record